Molecule: ribosomal RNA, 253 nt
Filed under: uncultured bacterium
Lineage: Bacteria
Description: partial 16S ribosomal RNA
Rfam family: Bacterial small subunit ribosomal RNA
Source: RNAcentral
UACGAACUGUGCAAACGUUAUUCGGAAUCACUGGGCUUACAGGGUGCGUAGGCGGCAUUUUAAGUCAGGUGUGAAAUCCCCCGGCUCAACCGGGGAACUGCGCCUGAGACUGGAUUGCUCGAGUGAGGCAGGGGUGUACGGAACUUCCGGUGGAGCGGUGAAAUGUGUAGAUAUCGGAAGGAACGCCAGCAGCGAAAGCGGUACACUGGGCCUCGUCUGACGCUGAGGCACGAAAGCCAGGGUAGCGAACGGG